Molecule: ribosomal RNA, 253 nt
Filed under: uncultured bacterium
Lineage: Bacteria
Description: partial 16S ribosomal RNA
Rfam family: Bacterial small subunit ribosomal RNA
Source: RNAcentral
UACAGAGGUCCCGAGCGUUGUUCGGAUUCAUUGGGCGUAAAGGGUGCGUAGGUGGAUUGGUAAGUCCGUGGUGAAAUCCCUGAGCUUAACUCAGGAACUGCCGUGGAUACUAUCAAUCUUGAAUACUGUGGAGGUAAGCGGAAUAUGUCAUGUAGCGGUGAAAUGCUUAGAUAUGACAUAGAACACCAAUUGCGAAGGCAGCUUGCUACACGGUUAUUGACACUGAGGCACGAAAGCGUGGGGAUCAAACAGG